UACGAACCGUCCAAACGUUACUCGGAAUCACUGGGCUUAAAGGGUGCGUAGGCCGCGCGGAGGGUGGGAUGUGAAAUCCCCCGGCUCAACCGGGGAAUAGCGUCCCAAACCGCCGUGCUCGAGGGAGACAGAGGUGAGCGGAACUGAUGGUGGAGCGGUGAAAUGCGUUGAUAUCAUCAGGAACACCAGUGGCGAAAGCGGCUCACUGGGUCUUUCCUAACG
This 222-nucleotide ribosomal RNA is filed under the name uncultured bacterium. RNAcentral's name for it is "partial 16S ribosomal RNA". It matches the Rfam family "Bacterial small subunit ribosomal RNA", at positions 524 to 745 of the family's 1533-position model. The record is from RNAcentral.